AGAGUUUGAUCAUGGCUCAGAUUGAACGCUGGCGGCAGGCCUAACACAUGCAAGUCGAGCGGAUGAGGGGUGCUUGCACCCUGAUUCAGCGGCGGACGGGUGAGUAAUGCCUAGGAAUCUGCCCGAUAGUGGGGGACAACGUUUCGAAAGGAACGCUAAUACCGCAUACGUCCUACGGGAGAAAGUGGGGGCUCUUCGGACCUCACGCUAUCGGAUGAGCCUAGGUCGGAUUAGCUAGUUGGUGGGGUAAAGGCUCACCAAGGCGACGAUCCGUAACUGGUCUGAGAGGAUGAUCAGUCACACUGGAACUGAGACACGGUCCAGACUCCUACGGGAGGCAGCAGUGGGGAAUAUUGGACAAUGGGCGAAAGCCUGAUCCAGCCAUGCCGCGUGUGUGAAGAAGGUCUUCGGAUUGUAAAGCACUUUAAGUCGGGAGGAAGGGCUGUAAGCGAAUACCUUGCAGCUUUGACGUUACCGACAGAAUAAGCACCGGCUAACUUCGUGCCAGCAGCCGCGGUAAUACGAAGGGUGCAAGCGUUAAUCGGAAUUACUGGGCGUAAAGCGCGCGUAGGUGGUUUGGUAAGUUUGGAUGUGAAAGCCCCGGGCUAACCUGGGAACUGCAUCCAGACUGCCUGACUAGAGUACGGUAGAUGGUGGAGGAAUUUCUGUAUAGAGAGGACU
RNAcentral lists this ribosomal RNA (681 nucleotides) under uncultured bacterium. RNAcentral describes it as "bacterial SSU rRNA". It matches the Rfam family "Bacterial small subunit ribosomal RNA", at positions 8 to 686 of the family's 1533-position model. The record is from RNAcentral.